RNAcentral lists this ribosomal RNA (497 nucleotides) under uncultured bacterium. RNAcentral describes it as "partial 16S ribosomal RNA". It matches the Rfam family "Bacterial small subunit ribosomal RNA", at positions 28 to 507 of the family's 1533-position model. The record is from RNAcentral.
GAUGAACGCUGGCGGCGUGCCUAAUACAUGCAAGUCGAGCGAACAGACGAUGAGCUUGCUCCUCUGACGUUAGCGGCGGACGGGUGAGUAACACGUGGAUAACCUACCUAUAAGACUGGGAUAACUUCGGGAAACCGGAGCUAAUACCGGAUAAUAUAUUGAACCGCAUGGUUCAAUAGUGAAAGACGGUUUUGCUGUCACUUAUAGAUGGAUCCGCGCCGCAUUAGCUAGUUGGUAAGGUAACGGCUUACCAAGGCAACGAUGCGUAGCCGACCUGAGAGGGUGAUCAGCCACACUGGAACUGAGACACGGUCCAGACUCCUACGGGAGGCAGCAGUAGGGAAUAUUCCGCAAUGGGCGAAAGCUUGACGGAGCAACGCCGCGUGAGUGAUGAAGGUCUUCGGAUCGUAAAACUCUGUUAUUAGGGAAGAACAAAUGUGUAAGUAACUAUGCACGUCUUGACGGUACCUAAUCAGAAAGCAACGGCUAACUACGUG